Molecule: ribosomal RNA, 433 nt
Filed under: uncultured bacterium
Lineage: Bacteria
Description: partial 16S ribosomal RNA
Rfam family: Bacterial small subunit ribosomal RNA
Source: RNAcentral
AGCGAACGCUGGCGGCAGGCCUAACACAUGCCAGUCGAACGAACUCUUCGGAGUUAGUGGCGGACGGGUGAGUAACACGUGGGAACGUGCCUUUAGGUUCGGAAUAACUCAGGGAAACUUGAGCUAAUACCGGAUGUGCCCUUCGGGGGAAAGAUUUAUCGCCUUUAGAGCGGCCCGCGUCUGAUUAGCUAGUUGGUGAGGUAAAGGCUCACCAAGGCGACGAUCAGUAGCUGGUCUGAGAGGAUGAUCAGCCACAUUGGGACUGAGACACGGCCCAAACUCCUACGGGAGGCAGCAGUGGGGAAUCUUGCGCAAUGGGCGAAAGCCUGACGCAGCCAUGCCGCGUGAAUGAUGAAGGUCUUAGGGUUGUAAAGUUCUUUCACCGGGGACGAUAAUGACGGUACCCGGAGAAGAAGCCCCGGCUAACUUCGUG